AGUGGCGGACGGGUGAGUAACACGUGAGAAUUUGCCUUUAGGAGGGGGAUAACAAUCGGAAACGAAUGCUAAUACCCCAUAUGCUUUUGAGUGAAAUGGAUUUAUCCGCCUAAAGAGAAGCUCGCGGCUGAUUAGCUUGUUGGUAAGGUAAGAGCUUACCAAGGCGACGAUCAGUAUCUGGUUUGAGAGGACGAUCAGACACACUGGAACUGAGACACGGUCCAGACUCCUACGGGAGGCAGCAGUGGGGAAUUUUCCGCAAUGGGCGAAAGCCUGACGGAGCAAUACCGCGUGAGGGAAGACUGCCUAUGGGUUGUAAACCUCUUUUUUCAGGGAGGAAUAAAUUGACGUGUACCUGAAGAAUAAGCAUCGGCUAACUCCGUGCCAGCAGCCGCGGUAAGACGGAGGAUGCAAGUGUUAUCCGGAAUCACUGGGCGUAAAGCGUCUGUAGGUGGUUUAAUAAGUCAACUGUUAAAUCUUGAGGCUCAACUUCAAAAUCGCAGUCGAAACUAUUAGACUAGAGUAUAGUAGAGGUAAAGGGAAUUUCCAGUGGAGCGGUGAAAUGCGUAGAUAUUGGAAAGAACACCAAUGGCGAAAGCACUUUACUGGGCUAUUACUAACACUCAGAGACGAAAGCUAGGGUAGCAAAUGGGAUUAGAUACCCCAGUAGUCCUAGCCGUAAACUAUGGAUACUAGAUGU
This 700-nucleotide ribosomal RNA is filed under the name uncultured bacterium. RNAcentral's name for it is "bacterial SSU rRNA". It matches the Rfam family "Bacterial small subunit ribosomal RNA", at positions 94 to 823 of the family's 1533-position model. The record is from RNAcentral.